AUUGAACGCUGGCGGCAGGCCUAACACAUGCAGGUCGAAUGGUAACAGGAAACAGCUUGCUGUUUCGCUGACGAGUGGCGGACGGGUGAGUAAUGUCUGGGAAACUGCCUGAUGGAGGGGGAUAACUACUGGAAACGGUAGCUAAUACCGCAUAACGUCGCAAGACCAAAGAGGGGGACCUUCGGGCCUCUUGCCAUCAGAUGUGCCCAGAUGGGAUUAGCUAGUAGGUGGGGUAACGGCUCACCUAGGCGACGAUCCCUAGCUGGUCUGAGAGGAUGACCAGCCACACUGGAACUGAGACACGGUCCAGACCCCUACGGGAGGCAGCAGUGGGGAAUAUUGCACAAUGGGCGCAAGCCUGAUGCAGCCAUGCCGCGUGUAUGAAGAAGGCCUUCGGGUUGUAAAGUACUUUCAGCGGGGAGGAAGGGAGUAAAGUUAAUACCUUUGCUCAUUGACGUUACCCGCAGAAGAAGCACCGGCUAACUCCGUG
RNAcentral lists this ribosomal RNA (490 nucleotides) under uncultured bacterium. RNAcentral's name for it is "partial 16S ribosomal RNA". It matches the Rfam family "Bacterial small subunit ribosomal RNA", at positions 30 to 507 of the family's 1533-position model. The record is from RNAcentral.